UAAUGAAAUUUUCUGUGAUCACAGUAGUAAUUUUGCAUGGGUAAAUUCUAAGUUUUGAAGGAUUUGUGAGAAGUGUUUGAGGAAACUGACACAGUGUUUAUUUCAGUUCCAUGAAAUAUUUCUUACAAAUCCUUCAAAACGUAGAAUUUACCCAUGCAAAAUUACUACUGUUAUCACAGAAACUUUGAUUG
Molecule: non-coding RNA, 191 nt
Organism: Paramuricea clavata
Lineage: Eukaryota; Metazoa; Cnidaria; Anthozoa; Malacalcyonacea; Plexauridae
Source: the annotation of a GenBank genome assembly